This 476-nucleotide ribosomal RNA is filed under the name uncultured bacterium. RNAcentral describes it as "bacterial SSU rRNA". It matches the Rfam family "Bacterial small subunit ribosomal RNA", at positions 28 to 526 of the family's 1533-position model. The record is from RNAcentral.
GAUGAACGCUGGCGGCGUGCCUAAUACAUGCAAGUCGAACGAACUAAUUUAUUAGUGAGUGGCGAACGGGUGAGUAAUACAUAAGUAACCUGCCCUAGACAGGGGGAUAACUACUGGAAACGGUAGCUAAAACCGCAUAGGUAUGGGAAUCGCAUGAUUGCCAUAUUAAAAGUGCUAAGGCACUGGUAGAGGAUGGACUUAUGGCGCAUUAGCUAGUUGGUAGGGUAAAGGCUUACCAAGGCUACGAUGCGUAGCCGACCUGAGAGGGUUACCGGCCACACUGGGACUGAGACACGGCCCAGACUCCUACGGGAGGCAGCAGUGGGGGAUAUUGCACAAUGGGGGAAACCCUGAUGCAGCGACGCCGCGUGGGUGAAGACGGCCUUCGGGUUGUAAAGCUCUGUUGACGGGGACGAUAAUGACGGUACCCGUUCAGAAAGCCACGACUAACUACGUGCCAGCCGCCGCAGUAAGAC